Molecule: long non-coding RNA, 1077 nt
Filed under: Marmota monax (woodchuck)
Lineage: Eukaryota; Metazoa; Chordata; Mammalia; Rodentia; Sciuridae
Source: RNAcentral
GGCACAUUACCGCUUGAGCCACAUCCCCAGCCCUAGCCUACUUUUUUGGCUAACGUUUUCUUCCAUAAAAUAGUGUUGCUAGUAAUGGACUUAAAAAAAAGUCCGUAUUUGGAAAAAUAAAAAUUUGCUAACCCUAUUUGAGUUUCUACAUCUAAAAUUUAGUGUGAUUCCUCCGUUGUGAGAGUUCUGCUUCCUUUAUGUUUCAAAAAUAAAUUCUGUUACUUUAUUCUAAAAAGAAAAAAAGAUAUUGGUUAUGAAAACCAAAAUCUAGAAAUUGUGAUGUUAAAUCUUAACUCAUAAUCUAUUUAUGCAUGCUGACUUUUUUUUUUUUCAGUUUUUUUAAGAGAUCAAGACCUGACAACUACAAAGCUCUUACCUAACCAUAUAAUACAGAUGAACAGCUCUCUUUGUGGAAAUGGUUUUUGGACCUAUAGAGUUGUAAUUUGAUAUUAUAGACUCAAUGGAAUUGGUUACCACCUCAUUUUUGUGAGGGUAUGUUUGAGAGCUCUGUAAUAAAGACUUAUAUUUGAAGUGAAAGUAGGAUUUUAGAUUUCAGAUGCUUUGCGCACAGUUCCAUUGUUUUUUCCUGCAAAUUUUUUCUUUCUCCAGUAUUUACAUUCUCUUACAAGGAGAGAAUACCUAAUUAAUUGUAGCUUCUGACUGCUUCCAAACAAGUGUAGCAGCAAAUCUCCAUUUAAUAAGAAGGAUUACUUGAGGAGAGGCCAACAGGAGUGGGCUGCAAUGAAGCUAGGAAGCUGCAGGCAUUCACCUAUGUAAUGCGCUCCUUGGGUAUUUGAAAUUACUUAAGAAUAUGGGACUGCCUGCUUUAAUUUUGUAACCUUUGAUUGUUUGCUCUUGGUGAAUUUAGUGUCUUUGUGAACAGUAUGACAAGUUCAGUGAAGCGCUAAGUUUAAAGAUUUUAGGCCUAAUCUCUAAAACUCAAUUCAGCAUAUUUUAGGCUUUGCUUUUCUUUAUAGUCCCCUCAUUCUGCCUCUGUUUAGUUUCAUACCUGAAAUUCAGAUUUGAUGUGAAAAUCAUUACUAGAGGUACUUCCUUAAUACCACAUAACAAAGCAAA